AAAGGAAUAGACGGGGGCCCGCACAAGCGGAGGAACAUGUGGUUUAAUUCGAUGAUACGCGAGGAACCUUACCCGGGCUUAAAUUGCUUCUGAAUAUAGUGGAAACAUUAUCGCCGCAAGGCAGAAGUGAAGGUGCUGCAUGGUUGUCGUCAGCUCGUGCCGUGAGGUGUCGGCUUAAGUGCCAUAACGAGCGCAACCCUUAUCUUUAGUUACUAACAGGUCAUGCUGAGGACUCUAGAGAGACUGCCGUCGUAAGAUGUGAGGAAGGUGGGGAUGACGUCAAAUCAGCACGGCCCUUACGUCCGGGGCUACACACGUGUUACAAUGGGAGGUACAGCAGGCAGCUACCUGGUGACAGGAUGCUAAUCUCUAAAGCCUCUCUCAGUUCGGAUCGAAGUCUGCAACCCGACUUCGUGAAGCUGGAUUCGCUAGUAAUCGCGCAUCAGCCAUGGCGCGGUGAAUACGUUCCCGGGCCUUGUACACACCGCCCGU
RNAcentral lists this ribosomal RNA (492 nucleotides) under uncultured bacterium. RNAcentral's name for it is "bacterial SSU rRNA". It matches the Rfam family "Bacterial small subunit ribosomal RNA", at positions 903 to 1397 of the family's 1533-position model. The record is from RNAcentral.